This 311-nucleotide long non-coding RNA is filed under the name Gossypium raimondii (Peruvian cotton). RNAcentral's name for it is "long non-coding RNA (GRAI_LNC001932)". The record is from RNAcentral. Lineage: Eukaryota; Viridiplantae; Streptophyta; Magnoliopsida; Malvales; Malvaceae.
UCCCCUUGGUUAAGAUACUAUCCAAUCCACCACUUUCCUUUCCUACAACCUACCCCCCAUCCUUCAACCCAUCAAUAUAGUUACUAGACAUACUUGUCCCAAACUUACCCCUAAAACCCAUGAAUUCAUCACUACUCAUCCUCCCUUUACCCCACAUACCUAUACUCUCCUAUUUGUUUUUAUCCCUAAACAAAACCCUUCUUUCAAUCUCACUUCCCUCCCCUAAACCUAAUUACCCCAUCAAACCAUCCUUACUAUCCUUAUUACCCACCAUAUCCUCCCAAUCCUCACCAAUAUUACCAACCCUUCCA